Molecule: ribosomal RNA, 225 nt
Filed under: uncultured Clostridium sp.
Lineage: Bacteria; Bacillati; Bacillota; Clostridia; Eubacteriales; Clostridiaceae
Description: partial 16S ribosomal RNA
Source: RNAcentral
UUNCUUNNGGAUNNCUCAGCCCAUUUACUCACUAAGCCCCACCUUUCAUCGUACUGCGAGUUUCAGACCACAACCCCAAAUGAGAACCCUCUAAGGCCUUUCUUCCGCCUCACACUUGCCUGCCCCCUCUACCCCCAUCGGUGCAUUGCGUAGCCCUACCAUAAUGGCCUGACGAUCUGACGUCCUCCCCAACUUCCCUUUGGUUUACCCUGGCAGUCCCUCUAA